This 1691-nucleotide long non-coding RNA is filed under the name Cricetulus griseus (Chinese hamster). Its description in RNAcentral is "lncRNA (ENSCGRG00015037045.1)". Lineage: Eukaryota; Metazoa; Chordata; Mammalia; Rodentia; Cricetidae. The record is from RNAcentral.
CCUUCGGGGAACCCGACCGAGGCCCAGCCCGGCCUGCCCCGCGCGCCGCUCACCGAGCCGAACCCCCGCAACUUCGCGCCCUCUGGAGCCCCGAGUCGCGGGCACGCCCCGGCCGCACUCACCGCGCUUGGACUCGGUGUGGCGCCCCGGCUCCGCUCCCUCCCGCACCGCCGCGGCCAGCGGAAACGGGGGGCGGGGCCGGCAGGCGGAGGGGGCGGGACCUUCACCGGGCUGCGGGGCGGGGUCUGAAUGCUCGAGGGCGGGGCUGGGAAGGGGCCGGGUGGGAGAGGCGGAGAGGACUAGGGAAGGCCGGCGGUUUGCGCCGCGGGAGGACUCGGCUGCCAGAGAUCUCACUGUGUAGCUCUGAUGGACCUGGAACCAGGCUGUCCAGGACUUCCCUGUGUGGACCACCCACACUGUUCUACAACUCAGAGACUCUCCUGCCUCUGACUCCUGAGUGCACAGAUUAAAGGCAUCCCACCAUGCUCAGCAGAAGAUAUACUAGGACUGCAGGGACAGGCCAGCCCAUCCAGCUUGAGACAAAGUGUUUAAACUGCAAGGAUCUCCCUUGCAUUCCCCUAACUGCUUGGCAGUUUCCACUAAUCUCCUGGGCUACCUCCCUUAGUCUUGUUUGUUUCAGUUAGAUUCAACCCCUAAUCCAGCCCCCAGGGGUUCUCAUUUCUCAGCCUGAGAAACAGUCUCCUCUCUUCCUUCAAAACCUCAUUCAAACCAAGUGGUGGUGGUGGUGCUCUCCUUUAAUCCCAGCAGUUGGGAGGCAGAGGCAGGUGGAUCUCAGUGAGUUUGAGACCAGCCUGGUCUACAAAGUGAGUUCCAGGACACGAGGACUGUUAAACAGAGAACCCCUGUCUCAAAAAACAAUCCCUCCCAAUUCCCUCCCCCCCCAAAAAAAAACACUCAUUCAAGACCAACCCCUGGCAUAAAGUGUUGCCAGCUGACCCCACCAAUAUUCCAACCACGACUGAGGGGGUCAGUUCUGUCUGCUGUGUAGAAGAGGAGGUAGAGAGAAGAGGGGGCCUGAUAGUGAUAGCUACUGGUAGGAUCAGACAAAGCAGCCGGGUGAGGUAACAAACUCCUGGUUUUAGAGCCACGCAGAUGUGUGUGAUCCUGCCUGCCUCUUUUGGGUGGAGGCAGCUCUAGGCCACAGGUUCCUCAGAAAGGAAAGGGGUCCCACCAACAGCACUCCAGCUCACAUAGAUGAGAGGGAUCUAAGGUAAUGAAGAUGGAUUCCGGAACCCAGGCUGUCCAUCCCACUUUGGCACACCCAGAGAUGGGGGUGCUGAGAUCUGGCAGGAUUCAUGACUGCAGGAAAAGGCUGCUGGAAAAGCUGGAGAGAAGAAGGGAUUAUUCAGCAAAAGGAACCAAGGUGACUUAUGAUCUAUGUGAUGAACACACCGAUCAGGAGGAAAACUCAAAUAAACCUAAUGAUGUGGCCAGAGGCUUUUGGAGAAAGAACUCCAGAAAGCAUGAGGUAGCAGGCUUCUGAAGAAUCCCAUUGCACUCAAGAAAAACACUAAAAGGAUAACUGUAUUAUUGAGCAAGCUACAGAUGAAGUUCCUCCAAGUUUGGAGGACAUCUCCCAUUUACUCCUCUUGUCCUGGCAUGGUUAUUAAUCACCCCACUUUUGCUCUCAGGAUGCCCUAAUUUGCACAAUAAAUUAUAUGCCACUUUAA